Molecule: non-coding RNA, 76 nt
Organism: Phthorimaea operculella (potato tuberworm)
Lineage: Eukaryota; Metazoa; Arthropoda; Insecta; Lepidoptera; Gelechiidae
Source: the annotation of a GenBank genome assembly
ACCUUGGUAGCCCAGUUGGUGGUGGCGUCGGCAGUACAGAUGCAGAAGGUCGCAGGUUCAAAUCCUGCCUACGGUG